Long non-coding RNA from Lycium barbarum (goji berry), 1179 nucleotides. RefSeq lists it as uncharacterized. The record is from RefSeq and is a predicted model, not a curated record. The transcript is spliced from 2 exons. Lineage: Eukaryota; Viridiplantae; Streptophyta; Magnoliopsida; Solanales; Solanaceae.
CCCCACAUGCUCCACACGCUGCUCACAUACCUCCCAUGUCCAACACACGCCCUUCCACGUGUCUCUCUCUGGUUGGCUAGUGAAUUUAAGUAUUAAACCCUAGGUUCCUAAUUUUUAUUGAAUGGUCUAUUUCACCCUCACUUAACCCAAGCGAAAUACCCAUUACACCCUUAAUGCCCUAAGAUAUUCUAGAUUUUCACUCUUUGAGCCUCAUAGCCGCACCUCUCUCUCUGCCAUGGAAGGAAAAUAUUUUGUUUCCUUCUCCAUUUUUAACAAAUUUUUGACCUUCACCCCAGAAAGGCAGGGAUUGUAUGGCAAUUUCGAGUACACUCCUGCCAAAAUCCCAAGGUUCGUCAGAUUUCAUUUUGACCGAGAUUCGAAUUGGAUUUCUAUUUAUAAUGAAGUUGAGAACGGUAAAAUGGAAUUCUUUUUUUCGUGUUCCUCAUUCUUCACCAUUUUUGGCAACCAAAUACCUACUCUACCUGUCCAUGUUGUUCGUCUUCUUUUCUGCUACAUGCCAUUUCAAAUGGCUCUUUUGAAUUCCAGAAGCUCUAAGAAUCCCGCCUAAAAGUCGAUCGUAAGAACCCUAGCUCGCAGCUAUAAAUAUCACCCUUUUGCAUUCAUUGCGGGAGAUGGUUGAACAGCCACGAUCUCACCUUAAAAAACAACAAGAAACAGCCAUAUAUCAUUCUAAACCACUAUAUUUUACCUUUCUGUUUUGAGAUUCUGGUUACCCUUAAAGUGUUCCGGCUCGUCAGUUUCUUUUGAGCGUGGAUCCGGGACCUAAAAGCUCUAGUUCGCUGCACCCGGAAAAGAAUAGGCUGUUGUAAUAUCUACUCACUUUGGUUUCACCAUUUUCUUGGAUUCCUAAGACAAUGGACAAGUUAAAGAGGAGUAGAGCAGUGACAGCCAUGUUAUAUGGAAAAAAGUGGGUGAUGCUCAUUUUGCGGUAAACUGAGUGAUGAAGAGCUACUUUUGAUUUGCUAUUUAUAGCAGUUCCUUUAGUGGGAAAUGCCUCCAUUUAAGCUACUAUGGUUUAAAUUGGACUUGUUUUACCAUUGGAUUUGAAUAUCUCACAGUAUUAAGGACGCUUCAUCAUUUACAACAUGUAGUAUUAAGUGAAUAAACUAUUUUCUAUUUGAGUAUUGAAAAGAAAAAACAAAAAAGAUUGGAUCAUAA